Molecule: long non-coding RNA, 1053 nt
Filed under: Numida meleagris (helmeted guineafowl)
Lineage: Eukaryota; Metazoa; Chordata; Aves; Galliformes; Numididae
Description: lncRNA (ENSNMEG00000010495.1)
Source: RNAcentral
AAGGUAAUGGGAAAGGUGACAUAGGAUUUUUCUUUGUUCUCACUUUCCUGCAGAUAUAGGAGAUGCAAAGGAGUGUUUUUCUUCUGCUUGCCAGGCCUUGUGUCCCUUUGAAAAGAAUUUCAUCACCCUACUUUAUGCUAUCACAUCAUCUCUCUCACCAAUAGGCAAAUACGUGACAGGAGCAGAUUUGCAGUGAAGAGCUGCUAAUGCAGAAGGAUCCGUUCCGGAUGUUCUCCUCCCAUCUGUUAUACAGUGCAGCAGCUCUUCUGCAUCUCCUGGGACGAUGCAUGAGGAGUCAGAAAAAUUGUGGUCCUUGUGCUGGGAAUGCUGUGACAAGAAGUUUGAAGGCAGCCUCUUGUUCUCUUCAGGAGUCCUCCAAACCCAAACCUUCAGGUUUAUCCUUGCCCCCCGCCUCUCCCACCACUUGUCCUGCCUUCCAGAUGGAUCAUCAUUGUGGCUUGCUUGGAUGUUCUAAGAGUGGGUUUGAUUUUCCCUCCUCCUUUCAAGAAUGUUCCCUUUCAAACCAGAGCAGUCACCAGGAGCCUUUUUCUCUCCUAUCCUCCUUCACUCAAUUCCUGUAAUGAUAUAGCACCACAUAAAUACAAUAUACCAUUGCGUAAAUGCCUUCUCAGGAACUACAAUCACAGCCUGGACUAUUCUACUAAUCUGUGGCAAAGGCACGCCAAACCCUGCUUGAAGGGAGCACUCCAUGAGGUCCCCAUAUCCUUAAUUCUUCUGAUUCCAUAACAUAAUUUUUGCCUCUUGGUCUCUGAACUGGUGAUAAAUCUUGGUAGAAGCAUCAUGCAGGCAAUUUUGCAUAAGAUUUUUUCCCAACUCACUAUACAGACCUGAUGAAAUGGAUAAUUUCCAUUUUGAGAAUGUUAACAUUUUUAUAAAAGAUCUAAAAGGUAUUACAACAAUGUUGUUGAAGAAAAAUGAAUGCUUUAUUUUUGUUUAUGAAUGCACAUCUUGAUGAAAUCCUGUUAGUAGCUAAAUACUUGAAUUACACUAUGAAUUAAUAAAAUCAUGAAUUUUGUAUGUUUUCUGGAAGGU